This 116-nucleotide ribosomal RNA is filed under the name Rheinheimera aquimaris. The record is from RNAcentral. Lineage: Bacteria; Pseudomonadati; Pseudomonadota; Gammaproteobacteria; Chromatiales; Chromatiaceae. RNAcentral also lists the same sequence under 5 other names.
CCUGGUGACCAUAGAGAACUAGAACCACCUGAUCCCUUACCGAACUCAGUAGUGAAAUGGUUCAUCGCCGAUGGUAGUGUGGGGUUUCCCCAUGUGAGAGUAGGUCAUUGCCAGGC